GUUUGAUCCUGGCUCAGAGCGAACGCUGGCGGCAGGCCUAACACAUGCAAGUCGAGCGGCCGUAGCAAUACGGCAGCGGCAGACGGGAGAGUAACACGUGGGAACGCGCCCUUCGGUUCGGAAUAACUCAGGGAAACUUGGGCUAAUACCGGAUACACCCUUACGGGGAAAGAUUUAUUGCCGAAGGAACGGCCCGCGUCCGAUUAGCUAGUUGGUGAGGUAAUGGCUCACCAAGGCGACGAUCGGUAGCUGGUCUGAGAGGAUGACCAGCCUCACUGGGACUGAGACACGGCCCAGACUCCUACGGGAGGCAGCAGUGGGGAAUAUUGGACAAUGGGCGCAAGCCUGAUCCAGCCAUGCCGCGUGGGUGAUGAAGGCCCUAGGGUUGUAAAGCCCUUUCAGCGGGGAAGAUAAUGACGGUACCCGCAGAAGAAGCCCCGGCUAACUUCGUGCCAGCAGCCGCGGUUAG
This 469-nucleotide ribosomal RNA is filed under the name uncultured bacterium. RNAcentral describes it as "bacterial SSU rRNA". It matches the Rfam family "Bacterial small subunit ribosomal RNA", at positions 11 to 524 of the family's 1533-position model. The record is from RNAcentral.